UACGUAGGGCGCGAGCGUUGUCCGGAAUUAUUGGGCGUAAAGAGCUCGUAGGCGGCCUGUCGCGUCAAUUGUGAAAGCCCGGGGCUUAACCCUGGGUCUGCAGUCGAUACGGGCAGGCUAGAGUGUGGUAGGGGAGAUCGGAAUUCCUGGUGUAGCGGUGAAAUGCGCAGAUAUCAGGAGGAACACCGGUGGCGAAGGCGGAUCUCUGGGCCAUUACUGACGCUGAGGAGCGAAAGCGUGGGGAGCGAACAGG
Molecule: ribosomal RNA, 253 nt
Filed under: uncultured bacterium
Lineage: Bacteria
Description: partial 16S ribosomal RNA
Rfam family: Bacterial small subunit ribosomal RNA
Source: RNAcentral